Long non-coding RNA from Octodon degus (degu), 637 nucleotides. RefSeq lists it as uncharacterized. Lineage: Eukaryota; Metazoa; Chordata; Mammalia; Rodentia; Octodontidae. The record is from RefSeq and is a predicted model, not a curated record. The transcript has 3 exons.
GAGAGAGGUCCAGGUGGCAGACUCAGGGGACAGAUGGCAGCUGCCAGUAUUUCCUUGUGCCCUGAAUGAAUUUGUCCUAAGAAAGUGUCUGCUGUCAUUGACACAGAUUUUGGAAAGAAUAACGCAUCGCUCCAAAGCCAGCCCUGCAGCAGUGGAUACCAAGUGCCAGAUGAGCCAGCAGAUCAAAGGCAAGUUUUUGUCAGCACCCCAGCAGGGACCACCUGGGAGCCCACAGCUCCUUCCUGAACCUCUGUAGGCCGGGAGAGCAGCAGAUGUUGCUCUGCUGUGUCCUCUCGAACAACAUUUGAAGCGCUGUAAAGAAGAGUAAAUGGUUUCGUUCAAUUUUUAAGUACCUAUGGCCUAGCCCCACAAAGUGGUGGUGGAGACCGGACUGCCGCUGCCCCCGCUGACCUGACGUUCUGCGUGAGCGCCCACGCAUGCACAAGGAACCUUUGUCCUGACCGCGGGACACAUUCACACACACUCCCUGAAGCAGAUGAGUCAGGGGAGGUCAGACGCAAAUGACUAAGGCCAACUGGUCUCAAGACCACUUGCCUAGGAGGCAAAGACACGAUGGGAAGUUUGGGUCACAGAACUGUAGAGUAAGAAAUGGGGGAGCAGCAAGGUCACACAGCUU